Cavia porcellus (domestic guinea pig) is the source of this 837-nucleotide long non-coding RNA. RefSeq lists it as uncharacterized. The transcript is spliced from 2 exons. NCBI's taxonomy places the organism in Eukaryota, Metazoa, Chordata, Mammalia, Rodentia, Caviidae. The record is from RefSeq and is a predicted model, not a curated record.
CUGAAGCAGAGACCACAGUGUCCCACGAGCGCCCUCUACUGAGCAAGCUUUACAUUUUGUACACUGUAACUGAAAUAUGCUUAAGGGAAUUCUACUGCGGAAUAGGCGUUGAAAGAGGACUUUGAAGCUGAGAGUUAAUAAAUCUGGAUAACUGGCACACACCCUCGGGCCUGGCACCGAGGAGACAUCUGCCUGGCAGAAGCUGAGGAUGCUGUCACCAUGAUGCCACUUGGCCAAGGGGGCCUCACCAGAGCCCAGCAGAUGUCGGCGCAGUGAACUAAGUUGCCUUUCUUCAUGAAACCCCCAGCCUCGGGUACUGCACUCCAGGUAUGGGCGCUAGGUUACCCGUCACCACCGGCAUCCAAAGAAGGCACAGACAGAACAAGAAACUCGCCAAGGCCACCCUCAGCCAGGCCCAUGGUGCUGCACCACGCGGUCCAGCAGCCCAGUUAGUUCCUGUGACAGCGACCUGUCUUACAAAGAGCAAACCUGUUGACAGGGACAGAGGGACGCUGCCCGGAGACGCCUGCCCUCCCCAUCAUCCCUGGGCGCUCCACGGCCAACGUGGUCCCUCCCAGGAAUCCCGCCGAGCCUGCCUCUGCUUGCCCGAGAGAGGCAGGGAGAGGGAAUCUUGCUGCAGUCUCCUUCCAGCUGUCCUCCUCGGAGAGGUCCCAUCUCUGGGCCAUCUUCAUUUGCACACUGACCAGGCUUCUGCCAGGUGAAAAGAAAGAGCAGUAAGAGGAGGAGGAAGAACGCAAGAUGCAAUCAACCGCACUGCACCCAAGCAGGGGAACCGAGUAAUUGAAAAGCAACCCAAAUAAAGGCUCCUGCGAUGGG